CCGGCGGCUGGAGAGGGUGGCCCGGAGUGCAGGCCGCGGAGUCGGCGCUGGGGGGGGACCCCGGGGCGCCCCCGGGCGGCGGAAAGCGGGCGCGCCUCUGGCCAGGCCGGGAUUGGGGCGGGGCGCGCGGCCUCCCUGUGGGGAAGCGGUCAGCCGGCCUCGCAGCCGCCGCCGCCAAAGUUUCCCGGAGGAGCCGCGGGCCGCCCUUCCUCUCCGGCCCCGCGCGCUGCCGCCCCUCAGGCCCGCACCGCCCCGGGGCGCCCGGCCCGGCUCCAUUGAGCGCAACUCGGAUCCCAACUUGGGAGGCGCCGCGGGCCUGCGCACGCGCGCGCCCUCCCCGCUGCCGCCGCCGCCGCCGCUGCCGCCGCCGCCGCUGCCGCCGCCGCCGCCGCCGCCGCCCACUCGGGAGCAGCUCCGGGCCGAGCCGGGCACCCAGACCCCGGGCCCGCACACCCCGCGCCGCCGCCCGUGCCCGCGCCCGCCGCCCGCUGCCCGCUGCGCCCUCGCCCCAGCGCCCGCUGAGCGCGCCCGCCCGCGGCCCAGGCUGGGCCCGGCCGGCCCGGCCCUCGACAGCGGCAAGUUUGGGAGUUGCACGAGUUUGCGGGGCGGGGGACAGGCCAGGAGGGCGGCCAUGGAGGAGGAGCGGGGGUCGGCGCUGGCGGCCGAGUCGGCGCUGGAGAAGAACGUGGCCGAGCUGACCGUCAUGGACGUGUACGACAUCGCGUCGCUUGUGGGCCACGAGUUCGAGCGGGUCAUCGACCAGCACGGCUGCGAGGCCAUCGCGCGCCUCAUGCCCAAGGUCGUGCGCGUCCUGGAGAUCCUGGAGGUGCUGGUCAGCCGCCACCACGUCGCGCCCGAGCUGGACGAGCUGCGUCUGGAGCUGGACCGCCUGCGCCUGGAGAGGAUGGACCGCAUCGAGAAGGAGCGCAAGCACCAGAAGGAGCUGGAGCUGGUGGAGGAUGUGUGGCGGGGGGAGGCGCAGGAUCUCCUCUCCCAGAUCGCCCAGCUGCAGGAGGAGAACAAGCAGCUCAUGACCAACCUCUCCCACAAGGAUGUCAACUUCUCAGAGGAGGAGUUCCAGAAGCAUGAAGGCAUGUCAGAGCGGGAGCGACAGGUGAUGAAGAAGCUGAAGGAGGUGGUGGACAAGCAACGCGACGAGAUCCGCGCCAAGGACAGGGAGCUGGGCCUGAAAAAUGAGGACGUUGAGGCUUUACAGCAGCAGCAGACACGGCUGAUGAAGAUCAACCAUGACCUUCGGCACCGGGUCACGGUGGUGGAGGCCCAGGGGAAAGCCCUGAUCGAACAGAAGGUGGAGCUGGAGGCAGACCUGCAGACCAAGGAGCAGGAGAUGGGCAGCCUGCGAGCAGAGCUGGGGAAGUUGCGAGAGAGGCUGCAGGGGGAGCACAGCCAGAAUGGGGAGGAGGAGCCUGAGACGGAGCCGGUUGGAGAGGAGAGCAUCUCCGACGCAGAGAAGGUGGCCAUGGAUCUCAAGGACCCCAACCGCCCCCGGUUCACCCUGCAGGAGCUGCGGGAUGUGCUGCACGAGAGGAACGAGCUCAAGUCCAAGGUGUUCUUGCUGCAGGAGGAGCUGGCUUACUAUAAGAGGUUUCCACACGAGACCACAAGCAACAUGAGACCAGAAGUCUUAUUUAUCUUGUCCAUGGCUAAGUUCCCAGCACUUAGAAUGGAGCUUGGCACACAGUUUACUGACUGUAUACUGGAUGUUCAAAGAUGGGAGAGGCCGGGCGCGGUGGCUCAUGCCUGUCAUCCCAGCACUUUGCGAGGCCGAGGCAGGCGGAUCACUUGAACCCAGGACUCGAAACCAGCCUGGGCAACGUAGUGGGACCCCCAUCUCUACACAAAAAUUUUUAAAAAUUAGCCAGUGAAGAAAUGGAAGAGGAAAACCGAAUAUCCCAACCCCCACCCAUCGCCCACCCGAGGACGUCCCCCCAGCCGGAGUCGGGCAUCAAGCGACUGUUUAGCUUCUUCUCCCGAGAUAAGAAGCGCCUGGCCAACACGCAGAGAAACGUGCACAUCCAGGAGUCCUUUGGACAGUGGGCAAACACCCACCGCGAUGACGGUUACACAGAGCAAGGACAGGAAGCCCUGCAGCAUCUGUGACCUUGGCCCAUCUCCACCCUCCAACCCGGACUGCCCGCCACCAGCGCCUGCGACCGAACUGCAGCCCAGGGGUCAUUGCUGCCUCAAGCCGCUCGGUGCAGACGCACCCUGAAAACUGACCCCUCAAACAGACUGUCUGAUUUGAGGAUGGACAUUGAAAAACCGACGCCAAACUCUAAAGAAAUGUUUAUUUAUACCCAGGGCUAUCACUGUUUCUAAUAGAUGACUCUGAUCCCGUAGGAUAUAUAUUUAAUAAUCCCACAAACGGAGGCCAGACUUCUGCGUUAACUUCAGUAACACAAGCUUCUUUAAGCCAAAUACAUCACUUGCCACUAUCAUUGCUGUUUGACUUGCUUUGUAUAAAAUGCUGUGUGUAGAGGUUUUAUUAUCACAGGUGACAUAGUUCAGCAGGAGGCAUGGAAGGGCUAGAUCUUCAUUAGUUACAUUCAUGAAAUUGUGAUGGUAACGUAUUAUACAGAAUGUAUCCAUCAGGCAGACAAGGGGUCUGAAGUCACAGGCUCAGUAGCCCAACUCAGACACAAAGCCACAGACAAUAUGGAUGAUGGUCCUCUUACCCAGAAACUGGAGACAACUUUGCAGGCGCCCUGGCUGCGUUCCUGAUAAUGCCUAGAGCAUGUAGCAAUGUUCAAGGCAGGUGCCUUGGAAUCUGCUGUGAGUUAUGCAGUACUAACCAAACAAAGUUGCUAAGGAUGA
Molecule: RNA transcript, 2835 nt
Organism: Pan troglodytes (chimpanzee)
Lineage: Eukaryota; Metazoa; Chordata; Mammalia; Primates; Hominidae
Gene: RILPL1
Gene name: Rab interacting lysosomal protein like 1
Exons: 9
Source: RefSeq, a predicted model, not a curated record